Molecule: ribosomal RNA, 254 nt
Filed under: uncultured bacterium
Lineage: Bacteria
Description: partial 16S ribosomal RNA
Rfam family: Bacterial small subunit ribosomal RNA
Source: RNAcentral
CACGUAGGGGGCAAGCGUUGUCCGGAUUUAUUGGGCGUAAAGAGCUCGUAGGCGGCUCAGUAAGUCGGGUGUGAAACCUCCAGGCUCAACCUGGAGACGCCACCCGAUACUGCUGUGGCUUGAGUCCGGUAGGGGAGCGUGGAAUUCCUGGUGUAGCGGUGAAAUGCGCAGAUAUCAGGAAGAACACCAAUGGCGAAGGCAGCUCUCUGGGACGGUACUGACGCUGAGACGCGAAAGCGUGGGGAGCGAACAGG